RNAcentral lists this ribosomal RNA (497 nucleotides) under uncultured bacterium. RNAcentral describes it as "partial 16S ribosomal RNA". It matches the Rfam family "Bacterial small subunit ribosomal RNA", at positions 28 to 507 of the family's 1533-position model. The record is from RNAcentral.
GAUGAACGCUGACAGCAUGCCUAAUACAUGCAAGUCGAUCGAACAGCCGUGGUUCUUGCUCCUCGCACGUUCGGGGCGGACAGGUGAGUAAAACGUACUUAACCUACCUAUAGGACUGACAGAACGUCGGGAAACCGGAGCUCAUACCAGGUCAUGUGUUGACACGCCUGGUUCGAUGAUAAAAGACGCUUUUGCUGUCCCUUCUAGCUUGAUCCGCGGCUCGUUAGCUAGUUGGUCACGUAACGGCUUACCAAGGCCACGAUGCGGAGCCGACAUGAGAGGGUUAGCGGCCCCACUGGAACUGAGACACGGUCCAGAGGCCACUGGGAGGCAGCAGUAGCGAAUAUGCCGCAAUGGGCGAAAGACUGACGGAGCAACGCCGCGUGAGUGAUGAAGGUAUUCGGAGCGUAAAAUGCUGUUAUUAGGGAAGAACAAAUGUGUCAGCAACUAUGCACGUAUUGACGGUACCUAAUCAGAAAGCCACGGCUAACUACGUG